Molecule: ribosomal RNA, 408 nt
Filed under: uncultured Methylomirabilota bacterium
Lineage: Bacteria; Methylomirabilota (SeqCode)
Description: bacterial SSU rRNA
Rfam family: Bacterial small subunit ribosomal RNA
Source: RNAcentral
CGUGGAGACAGGUGGUGCAUGGCUGUCGUCAGCUCGUGUCGUGAGAUGUUGGGUUAAGUCCCGCAACGAGCGCAACCCUCACCCCUUGUUGCCAACAGAUUAUGCUGGGCACUCUAGGGGAACUGCCCCGGUCAACGGGGAGGAAGGCGGGGAUGACGUCAAGUCAUCAUGCCCCUUACGUCCUGGGCUACACACGUGCUACAAUGGCCGGUACAGAGGGAUGCAAGACCGCGAGGUGGAGCUAAACCCAAAAAGCCGGUCUAAGUUCAGAUUGGAGUCUGCAACUCGACUCCAUGAAGGAGGAACCGCUAGUAAUCGCGCAUCAGCACGGCGCGGUGAACACGUUCCCGGGCCUUGUACACACCGCCCGUCACACCACGAAAGCCAGCUGUACUCGAAGUCGCUGAG